RNAcentral lists this ribosomal RNA (460 nucleotides) under uncultured bacterium. RNAcentral's name for it is "partial 16S ribosomal RNA". It matches the Rfam family "Bacterial small subunit ribosomal RNA", at positions 338 to 795 of the family's 1533-position model. The record is from RNAcentral.
CCUACGGGUGGCAGCAGUGAGGAAUAUUGGUCAAUGGACGAGAGUCUGAACCAGCCAAGUAGCGUGAAGGAUGACUGCCCUAUGGGUUGUAAACUUCUUUUAUAUGGGAAUAAAAUGUUCCACGUGUGGGAUUUUGUAUGUACCAUAUGAAUAAGGAUCGGCUAACUCCGUGCCAGCAGCCGCGGUAAUACGGAGGAUCCGAGCGUUAUCCUGAUUUAUUGGGUUUAAAGGGAGCGUAGGUGGAUUGUUAAGUCAGUUGUGAAAGUUUGCGGCUCAACCGUAAAAUUGCAGUUGAAACUGGCAGUCUUGAGUACAGUAGAGGUGGGCGGAAUUCGUGGUGUAGCGGUGAAAUGCUUAGAUAUCACGAAGAACUCCGAUUGCGAAGGCAGUUCACUGGACUGCAACUGACACUGAGGCUCGAAAGUGUGGGUAUCAAACAGGAUUAGAUACCCGAGUAGUC